RNAcentral lists this long non-coding RNA (866 nucleotides) under Sinocyclocheilus anshuiensis. RNAcentral describes it as "lncRNA (ENSSANG00000041131.1)". The record is from RNAcentral. Lineage: Eukaryota; Metazoa; Chordata; Actinopteri; Cypriniformes; Cyprinidae.
AGAUUAUGUGACCGAUGAUAAUGGGAUCGUCAUCCCGACUGACCCGUCACCGAUGGACGGCGGUCUGAUCGCGGGGGCCGUUAUCGGAGCGAUCGCCUGCGCAGCACUGAUCCUGGCCGGGAUGUACUAUGUCUUUAGUGUGAAGGCCGUAAAACCAGGAGAUAUCAGCUUCUUCAAACACGAAACCAAGAAUAUUGAUGUGCCUGCGUUCACCAACCCGAACUUUGCUGGAGAAUCUGACACAUGAACCGUGGGAGAUUCAUCUGUUUCUGUACAGGAACUAAAGCACUGAAAUAUGUUCAAUCAGCACUGAAACGGAAUCAUACAAUCAUCAGCCUACAGAUUUUUUUUGUACUUUUUUGUAUGCAUGUUAGUAUUCUUGUUCACAUUUUGUAAAUUGUUUUUAAAUAUGCACGAAUGCAUUGUUGCGGUAAUGUUUAUUGUCUGUACAGUUGUUUCUUGAAAUUAAUUUAAAAUAAAUAUAUUACUAAACAGCAUUAGACAUUUUUUCAAAACUUUGACAUUGUGUUAAAGCAUGUCUUUUGAUUGGCAGCUGGUGGAGGCGAGGCUAAAACACCCAAACAACAGCAUCUUUAGAAAAGAUUUCCAAAAACACAGACGUAAUCAAACUUCAUAAGAUUCUGAACAUACAUGAGUUCACAUGACUGAAAUCAACGCCAACAGCUGUGUCAGAGUUUAACGAUUCGAGUUGAGAUUUUCACUCUAUUAAUCUAGUUUAUUUCUGCAACAGUGCCUUGUACACUGGCCAUCUUUACGCUGGUUUAUAGAUUUAUCAAACAGUUGGGGUCAGAGAGCCUCUGUCUGGAAAUGAGAUAUUUGCAGCUUUAUUCCCUGCUCAUAAUAAU